Molecule: ribosomal RNA, 504 nt
Filed under: uncultured bacterium
Lineage: Bacteria
Description: bacterial SSU rRNA
Rfam family: Bacterial small subunit ribosomal RNA
Source: RNAcentral
AACGAACGCUGGCGGCGGUGCCUAACACAUGCAAGUCGAGCGAGAAAGUCCCGUUCGGGGCGAGUAAAGCGGCGGACGGGUGAGUAAUACAUGGAUAAUCUUCCCUCGAGCCUGGGAUAACCCUGCGAAAGUGGGGCUAAUACCGGAUAAGACCACAUGACACAUGUCACGGGGUAGAAGGUGGCUUGUAUUUAUAUGAGCUAUCACUUGAGGAUGAGUCCAUGGCCUAUCAGCUAGUUGGUGAGGUAAGAGCUUACCAAGGCUAUGACGGGUAGCUGGUCUGAGAGGACGACUAGCCACACUGGGACUGAGACACGGCCCAGACUCCUACGGGAGGCAGCAGUGGGGAAUAUUGGGCAAUGGGCGAAAGCCUGACCCAGCGACGCCGCGUGGGUGAUGAAGGCCUUCGGGUUGUAAAACCCUUUCGUGCGGAAAGAAUAGUCCUGUAGCGAAUAACUACGGGAUUUGACGGUACCGCAGGAAGAAGCACCGGCUAACUCCGUG